CAUGCAAGUCGAGCGGAAACGACAMYAACRAUYCUUCGGRUGMKUUAAUGGGCGUCGAGCGGCGGACGGGUGAGUAAUGCCUAGGAAAUUGCCUUGAUGUGGGGGAUAACCAUUGGAAACGAUGGCUAAUACCGCAUAAUGCCUACGGGCCAAAGAGGGGGAYCUUCGGRCCUCUCGCGUCAAGAUAUGCCUAGGUGGGAUUAGCUAGUUGGUGAGGUAAUGGCUCACCAAGGCGACGAUCCCUAGCUGGUCUGAGAGGAUGAUCAGCCACACUGGAACUGAGACACGGUCCAGACUCCUACGGGAGGCAGCAGUGGGGAAUAUUGCACAAUGGGCGAAAGCCUGAUGCAGCCAUGCCGCGUGUAUGAAGAAGGCCUUCGGGUUGUAAAGUACUUUCAGUUGUGAGGAAGGGKGUGWMGUUAAUAGCUKCRYMUCUUGACGU
Molecule: ribosomal RNA, 442 nt
Filed under: Vibrio splendidus
Lineage: Bacteria; Pseudomonadati; Pseudomonadota; Gammaproteobacteria; Vibrionales; Vibrionaceae
Description: partial 16S ribosomal RNA
Rfam family: Bacterial small subunit ribosomal RNA
Source: RNAcentral